AUGACCCGCUUGCAUCAUAGGCGUGUCUCAAUGGCUAGGUCGAACAGGUCUUCUUCUAGUGCCUCCGUAGGAAACAAUGGAUCAACUCAGUCAACUGUACAGGCUAAAAAGCCUAGAACACCAAGAACUAGGACUUCAGCCGGUCUCAGACUAGAGGAAAUUGACCGACCGCUUAUAGUUCCCGUUGGCAUGGCAUGGGAAAGGCACCCAUACAACGCUCGUGAUCCAUCAACGCUGCUAGGUGCCUUAGUGCGCCAGAUGUAUCCACCGCCAAUUGGUCCAAAAAAUGACCAGAAACCGGUAUUGUGUUGGGAGGACUACAAGUGGUCCCCUGGUCCAGAAGUAAGAACAGCAGCUUCCAAAAUAGUGGAAGAAUUUUGGUGGCGUUUCAAGUGUGACCCAUCGGAGCAAGAGAAGGCAGAUGGUGUUUUGGAGGAGAACUUAACUAGGAAAGUGAAGCAGAUGCUACAUGAGGAAAAGGCAGCAGCCAUCAAAAGAUUAAAGAAGAAGGGACAAUUGCCUACAGAACUAACAGAAGAGGAUGAGGAUGGUAACCGCUGGCCAACUAAGGAAGCUUUAAUUGCUGCAAAGAGAGUUGACUUUGGUACAGACGUUGGUUGGCGUCUACUAUGUGAGCACUGGAGUAGUACUGAAUUUAGAGGGUUAUCUUUAACCAACAAAAGGAACAGACUUGCUAAUGGGGACACGGUCUUCCAUUGCAGUGGUGCUAGAAAUGUUGUCGCCACACGUCAAUUUCUGAAACUCAAAACCGGGAAAGACCCUGGAAUUUCUGGUGCUUGGCUUCACACGCACAAAUUGCAUCGAGGGACUAAUGAAGAGCAGAUAUGCAGUCAAAGAACUGCUGAUCAUUGGGAGGAUUUUGAUAAGGCAAUGAAAAAUGCCCAUGGAGAAAAUUGGGAAGAGGAGCACCCGGAUUUAGAUGGACAAAUCAUCUACGAAGCAGCAGGCAGAAUGCCACAUGGCAGGCUGGGAAUUGCUAAUGAGUUGUUUAGCAAAGCAUAG
RNAcentral lists this ribosomal RNA (1023 nucleotides) under Triticum aestivum (bread wheat). Its description in RNAcentral is "partial small subunit ribosomal RNA". Lineage: Eukaryota; Viridiplantae; Streptophyta; Magnoliopsida; Poales; Poaceae. The record is from RNAcentral.